UACGUAGGGGGCUAGCGUUGUCCGGAAUUAUUGGGCGUAAAGGGCUCGUAGGCGGUUUGUCGCGUCGGGAGUGAAAAUCCAGGGCUUAACUCUGGACUGGCUUCCGAUACGGGCAGACUAGAGGUAUGCAGGGGAGAACGGAAUUCCUGGUGUAGAGGUGAAAUUCGUAGAUAUUAGGAAGAACACCGGUGGCGAAGGCGGCCCACUGGUCCGGUACUGACGCUGAGGUGCGAAAGCGUGGGGAGCAAACAGG
This 253-nucleotide ribosomal RNA is filed under the name uncultured bacterium. Its description in RNAcentral is "partial 16S ribosomal RNA". It matches the Rfam family "Bacterial small subunit ribosomal RNA", at positions 524 to 776 of the family's 1533-position model. The record is from RNAcentral.